Molecule: ribosomal RNA, 305 nt
Filed under: uncultured bacterium
Lineage: Bacteria
Description: partial 16S ribosomal RNA
Rfam family: Bacterial small subunit ribosomal RNA
Source: RNAcentral
ACAGCAGCAGCCGCGGUAAUACGGAGGGUGCAAGCGUUAAUCGGAAUUACUGGGCGUAAAGCGCACGCAGGCGGUCUGACAAGUCAGAUGUGAAAUCCCCGGGCUUAACCUGGGAACUGCAUUUGAAACUGUCAGGCUGGAGUCUUGUAGAGGGGGGUGGAAUUCCAGGUGUAGCGGUGAAAUGCGUAGAGAUCUGGAGGAAUACCGGUGGCGAAGGCGGCCCCCUGGACAAAGACUGACGCUCAGGUGCGAAAGCGUGGGGAGCAAACAGGAUUAGAUACCCGCGUAGUCCCUGUCUCUUAUAA